UAUAUCUAACAGACAGAAGACUUCUGGUGCUGAGGGGGAGCGUUUAAAAGAAGCAGCUAACAUCAAUAAAUCAUUAUCUACCUUGGGUCAUGUUAUUAUGAUACUAGUGGAUGUGGCAAAUGGGAAGCAGAGGCAUAUCCCUUACAGAGACUCUAGACUAACUUUUCUUCUUCAGGACUCUCUUGGCGGAAACUCAAAAACAAUGAUCAUUGCCAAUGUCAGCCCUUCUAUCUG
Molecule: long non-coding RNA, 234 nt
Organism: Glycine soja
Lineage: Eukaryota; Viridiplantae; Streptophyta; Magnoliopsida; Fabales; Fabaceae
Exons: 3
Source: RefSeq, a predicted model, not a curated record